UCUGCUGCCCGUGCGCGGAGGACGAGUGCCCCGCGGGUGGCCGCCAAAGGCGCUGCGACUCCGCCGAACGCAGUCCCAGCACGCACUGCCUUCGGGAGAGCCCGUACUGGUGAGCCUCACGCGCGCUCUCCCGGAAGCAGCCAACUCGUCCAGUGUACGCUCCAGAAGUAGUUGUCAGUCAGGACAAGCGCAGCACGUUUCGCGGCUGCCGUAUCACAUAGUGAAAGCACGGCAACGCAGUAUUGUCACGUUACAGUGAUGGUGAAGAACACGGUAUAGUAAAACUGUGAGUCACGAGACUCUUUACUGGACGAACCUGUGCCCGCAAGGACAGGCUACAGUGCAACGAAAGCGGCGAGCAGUGUCGGCGAUCGUCGGAAUCUGCUGGUCAAGCACGACGGCUUGUAUACACGACUCGUCGAAAGUUCCGGGGUAUAAUCGCUGGUGCUCGCGUGCCUUCCAGAAACUACUACACAAUUCGUGUCGCGCACGCAAUCUGAUUACGCAAGGUUCGGUGAGAACAUACACAACAGAUAGAAUCAACAAUAGCAUCCGAGUAAGUUCCAAUCAUGCAGGCGCGUUUUGCGCUGAGCGAUAACUCACGGUUGUUAGCGGGUGAAAUGCAGUCCCCGAAAAAGGCAUAAAUAAGUACACGUGCCCAUAUGAAUAUUCUCUUUUUUAUUUCUUCACGUGUUUGCGUCGCUUGCUUUUUCGUGUAGUUCGCAAAUUUUCUUCCCUCUUUCGUGUCCCCGUACAGAAAAUUUGCACAUGACCAUAUCUAUAUUAUUUCUUCAAGAAGGGAAACGUAUUCUUUCUAGAUGCCUGAUCACUUUGAGGCUGCAGCGGUUUUGUUGUGCUUGGAUUUUUCGCUGUUGUUGCCUUGCAUACGCGGCUAUAUCUACUAACCUGAAAUUACCCGCUAUUAUGUGUUCUCUGGAAUAAAAAUUCCCCUCGGUAGUCGGUGCUGUCUUGUGUCACAUAUCUGUACGUACCCCCCCCCCCUUUUUUUUUUUUUUUGUUUCGCGCUGUUCCACAGAUGCACCAACUCGCCCACCUGUCGAUAACCGCGUAUCCACGUCCCGUGCAGGUACUCGGUCACUGCGCUUGCUCCUGCCGUCGUCUACCACGCGCUCGAAGUGCACGUCUUCAGGAAAAGCGGGCCCAGCUCGUGGCACAGCGUGACGGGACCCAAAGGCGUCUUCCUCAGCACCGACAACCCGACGAGCCGCGCCGGCGACAAUGGGGCAAGGGACUACCUCCUUGUUCAAAAUCACGUGUUAGGCCUUGGUGAUGCGGCGUGCUCCAAGGUCGGUUCAUACUUCAAAGCUUUCUGGAAUCAAGACGAACGCUGUCAGCGCCAAAUUGGAAGCUGCCUGGAGCUGCAGCCCUUAGACAUGUGGUCUCGAGACAACGUGAGUGACCGGCAACCGCACGUCAACGGCAUUUCCUUACCGGGCUCAUUCUUCUACAC
Dermacentor andersoni is the source of this 1471-nucleotide long non-coding RNA. RefSeq lists it as uncharacterized. NCBI's taxonomy places the organism in Eukaryota, Metazoa, Arthropoda, Arachnida, Ixodida, Ixodidae. The record is from RefSeq and is a predicted model, not a curated record.